Molecule: long non-coding RNA, 320 nt
Filed under: Mustela putorius furo (domestic ferret)
Lineage: Eukaryota; Metazoa; Chordata; Mammalia; Carnivora; Mustelidae
Description: lncRNA (ENSMPUG00000030345.1)
Source: RNAcentral
AUGCCCUUCUGCUGUCAGUGAGCUGGGUGGCCUCAUCCUCCUGAAUGUCGGCCUGCUGUUGACACAGCAGAGACGUCGCACGUUGAAGGUUGUCCACGUUUUCCAGAUGUGCAAAGAAGCUCCGAGAGGUGACGUCACUCCCCUAAAGUCACGUAGCUAGUGAGUGGCCCAUAAUUCUUCAAUGAUAACACAGCUGUCUUCUAGAUGGGUACACAGGUAAUUUUUAAAAAUCUGGAUUUUAACUUCUUUUUUUUUUAAGAUUUCAUUUAUUUAUUUGUCAGAGAGAUAGAGAGCACAGGCAGACAGAAUGGCAGGCAGAG